Molecule: ribosomal RNA, 682 nt
Filed under: uncultured Bacteroidales bacterium
Lineage: Bacteria; Pseudomonadati; Bacteroidota; Bacteroidia; Bacteroidales
Description: bacterial SSU rRNA
Rfam family: Bacterial small subunit ribosomal RNA
Source: RNAcentral
AAGUCGAGGGGCAGCAUGACCUAGCAAUAGGUUGAUGGCGACCGGCGCACGGGUGAGUAACACGUAUCCAACCUACCGGUUAUUCCGGGAUAGCCUUUCGAAAGAAAGAUUAAUACCGGAUAGUAUAACGAGAAGGCAUCUUUUUGUUAUUAAAGAAUUUCGAUAACCGAUGGGGAUGCGUUCCAUUAGUUUGUUGGCGGGGUAACGGCCCACCAAGACAUCGAUGGAUAGGGGUUCUGAGAGGAAGGUCCCCCACAUUGGAACUGAGACACGGUCCAAACUCCUACGGGAGGCAGCAGUGAGGAAUAUUGGUCAAUGGACGAGAGUCUGAACCAGCCAAGUAGCGUGAAGGAUGACUGCCCUAUGGGGUUGUAAACUUCUUUUAUAUGGGAAUAAAGUGAGCCACGUGUGGCUUUUUGUAUGUACCAUACGAAUAAGGAUCGGCUAACUCCGUGCCAGCAGCCGCGGUAAUACGGAGGAUCCGAGCGUUAUCCGGAUUUAUUGGGUUUAAAGGGAGCGUAGGCGGACUAUUAAGUCAGCUGUGAAAGUUUGCGGCUCAACCGUAAAAUUGCAGUUGAUACUGGUCGUCUUGAGUGCAGUAGAGGUAGGCGGAAUUCGUGGUGUAGCGGUGAAAUGCUUAGAUAUCACGAAGAACUCCGAUUGCGAAGGCAGCCUGCUGGAC